CGUCUAUAUACGUAUAGCAUAUCAAUAAGCGGAGGAAAAGAAACUAACAAGGAUUCCCUUAGUAACGGCGAGUGAAGCGGGAAGAGCUCAAAUUUGAAAUCUUCAAGGUUCUACCUUGACGAAUUGUAGUUUAUAGAAGUGUUUUCUGUUAGUGGAGUGGCAAAAGUUCUUUGGAAUAGGACAUCAUAGAGGGUGAGAAUCCCGUAUUUGGUCAUUCCUCCUAGCGUUGUGAUACACUUUCAACGAGUCGGAUUGUUUGGGAAUGCAGUCCAAAAUGGGUGGUAAAUUUCAUCUAAAGCUAAAUAUUGGCGAGAGACCGAUAGCGAACAAGUACCGUGAGGGAAAGAUUGAAAAGAACUUUGAAAAGAGAGUUAAACAGUACGUGAAAUUGUCAAAAGGGAAGCGUUUGACACCAGUGUUGUUUUUCCGGAAAUCAAUUACGAAUGUUUUGUUUUUGAGGAGUUAUGACUUCAUCGGCUUGCUCCUUUCUUUACGAAACUUUCUUAAUGCACUUUUCGGUUAACAAGUCAACAUCAAUUUCUUUUGUUGUAAAAGGGUAUGAGGAAGGUGGCUUUCUUUUCGGAGAAAGUGUUUAUAGCCUUGUGCCUCUGCAAUCGGAGAGAUUGAGGUCUGCAGCGUAGAUCCUUCGGGGUUAGAUACGUUUGUGCUAAGUUAUAGCUUUUCAUAGACAACUUGUUGACUAUGUUUAGUCUUGUAGCUUACUCGCUUACGCUAUUUUACCUACGCUUAGGAUGUUGACGAGACUGUCGAUCUC
RNAcentral lists this ribosomal RNA (775 nucleotides) under uncultured Neocallimastigales. RNAcentral's name for it is "partial large subunit ribosomal RNA". It matches the Rfam family "Eukaryotic large subunit ribosomal RNA", at positions 26 to 647 of the family's 3401-position model. The record is from RNAcentral. Lineage: Eukaryota; Fungi; Neocallimastigomycota; Neocallimastigomycetes; Neocallimastigales.